Molecule: ribosomal RNA, 253 nt
Filed under: uncultured bacterium
Lineage: Bacteria
Description: partial 16S ribosomal RNA
Rfam family: Bacterial small subunit ribosomal RNA
Source: RNAcentral
UACGUAGGGUGCACGCGUUGUCCGGAAUUAUUGGGCGUAAAGAGUUCGUAGGCGGUUUGUUGCGUCGGCUGUGAAAUCCCGAGGCUCAACCUCGGGUCUGCAGUCGAUACGAGCAAACUAGAGUGUUGCAGGGGAGACUGGAAUUCCUGGUGUAGCGGUGAAAUGCGCAGAUAUCAGGAGGAACACCGGUGGCGAAGGCGGGUCUCUGGGCAACAACUGACGCUGAGGAGCGAAAGCGUGGGGAGCGAACAGG